UACGUAGGGUGCAAGCGUAUCCGGAAUUUAUUGGGCGUAAAAGAGCUCGUAGGCGGUUUGUCGCGUCUGCUGUGAAAACUGGGGGCUCAACCCCCAGCCUGCAGUGGGUACGGGCAGACUAGAGUGCGGUAGGGGAGAUUGGAAUUCCUGGUGUAGCGGUGGAAUCGCAGAUAUCAGGAGGAACACCGAUGGCGAAGGCAGAUCUC
Molecule: ribosomal RNA, 206 nt
Filed under: uncultured bacterium
Lineage: Bacteria
Description: partial 16S ribosomal RNA
Rfam family: Bacterial small subunit ribosomal RNA
Source: RNAcentral